Molecule: long non-coding RNA, 154 nt
Organism: Anolis carolinensis (green anole)
Lineage: Eukaryota; Metazoa; Chordata; Lepidosauria; Squamata; Anolidae
Exons: 2
Source: RefSeq, a predicted model, not a curated record
UGAGGAAGAGGAGGAAGAAGAGGAGGAGGAGGAAAAAGAGGAACAAGGAAGAUGAAGAUGAGAAGGAGGAAGAAGAGCAAGAAGAGGAGGCAGAGGAGGUAGAAGAUGAGCAGGUGAAGGAAGAAUAAGAGGAAGAUGAGGAAGAAGAGGAGGA